RNAcentral lists this small nuclear RNA (26 nucleotides) under Eremothecium gossypii ATCC 10895. Its description in RNAcentral is "AgSNR72 (AGOS_AgSNR72)". Lineage: Eukaryota; Fungi; Ascomycota; Saccharomycetes; Saccharomycetales; Saccharomycetaceae. The record is from RNAcentral.
AUUAAACGAUUUGCAUGUCAGUCUGA